GAGGGUGUAGCUCAGUGGUAGAGCACCUGCCUAGCAUGCACAAGGUCCGGGGUUCAAUCCCCAGUACCUCCA
RNAcentral lists this transfer RNA (72 nucleotides) under Camelus bactrianus (Bactrian camel). It matches the Rfam family "tRNA". Rfam says of the family: Transfer RNA (tRNA) molecules are approximately 80 nucleotides in length. Their secondary structure includes four short double-helical elements and three loops (D, anti-codon, and T loops). Lineage: Eukaryota; Metazoa; Chordata; Mammalia; Artiodactyla; Camelidae. The record is from Rfam by way of RNAcentral. RNAcentral also lists the same sequence under 3 other names.